RNAcentral lists this antisense RNA (75 nucleotides) under Streptomyces scabiei. RNAcentral describes it as "Aspks sRNA". It matches the Rfam family "ASpks TB sRNA". Lineage: Bacteria; Bacillati; Actinomycetota; Actinomycetes; Kitasatosporales; Streptomycetaceae. The record is from RNAcentral.
CUUCACCGAACCCAGCCACAACGGCCGGUCCCCAGCCCGCUCCCGGCCAUACGUGGCCAGCAACGCCUGCGCCUC